UAGGGAAUAUUAGAAAUGGACGAAAGUCUGAUCUAGCGACACCGCGUGUGCGAUGAAGGCCUUCGGGUUGUAAAGCACUUUUUGGAAGGAAUAGGAAGGAAGGUACUUCCAGAAUAAGUCUCGGCUAACUACGUGCCAGCAGCCGCGGUAACACGUAGGAGGCAAACGUUAUCCGGAUUUACUGGGCGUAAAGCGCGUGUAGGUGGUUCUGUAAGUAGGGAGUGAAAGCUCCCGGCUCAACUGGGAGAGGCCGUUCUAAACUGCAGAGCUAGAGGAUGGUAGAGGGAGGUGGAAUUCCAGGUGUAGCGGUGGAAUGCGCAGAUAUCUGGAGGAACACCAGUGGCGAAGGCGGUUCUCUGGACCUUUCCUGACGCUGAGAAGCGAAAGCGUGGGGAGCAAACAGG
Molecule: ribosomal RNA, 404 nt
Filed under: uncultured prokaryote
Also listed under: 1 other name
Description: bacterial SSU rRNA
Rfam family: Bacterial small subunit ribosomal RNA
Source: RNAcentral